Molecule: ribosomal RNA, 468 nt
Filed under: uncultured bacterium
Lineage: Bacteria
Description: partial 16S ribosomal RNA
Rfam family: Bacterial small subunit ribosomal RNA
Source: RNAcentral
GACGAACGCUGGCGGCGUGCUUAACACAUGCAAGUCGAACGGAAAGGCCCUGCUUUUGUGGGGUGCUCGAGUGGCGAACGGGUGAGUAACACGUGAGUAACCUGCCCUUGACUUUGGGAUAACUUCAGGAAACUGGGGCUAAUACCGGAUAGGAGCUCCUGCUGCAUGGUGGGGGUUGGAAAGUUUCGGCGGUUGGGGAUGGACUCGCGGCUUAUCAGCUUGUUGGUGGGGUAGUGGCUUACCAAGGCUUUGACGGGUAGCCGGCCUGAGAGGGUGACCGGCCACAUUGGGACUGAGAUACGGCCCAGACUCCUACGGGAGGCAGCAGUGGGGAAUAUUGCACAAUGGGCGGAAGCCUGAUGCGGCAACGCCGCGUGCGGGAUGACGGCCUUCGGGUUGAAAACCGCUUUCGCCUGUGACGAAGCGUGAGUGACGGUAAUGGGUAAAGAAGCACCGGCUAACUACGUG